Molecule: ribosomal RNA, 828 nt
Filed under: uncultured crenarchaeote
Lineage: Archaea; Thermoproteati; Thermoproteota
Description: bacterial SSU rRNA
Rfam family: Archaeal small subunit ribosomal RNA
Source: RNAcentral
UGCUAGUCGCGUGCUUCAGCCAAAACGAGGCACGGCAAACAGCUCAGUAACACGUGGCUAAUCUGCCCUUAGGACGCGAACAACCCCGGGAAACUGGGGCUAAUUCUCGAUAGGUGAAGAACUCUGGAAUGAGUCUUUGCCUAAAAGAGCUUACGUUAUGCUCGUAAGUUUCGCCUAAGGAUGAGGCCGCGACCGAUCAGGUUGUUGGUGAGGUAAUGGCUCACCAAGCCUUUUACCGGUGCGGGCCGUGAGAGCGGGAGCCCGGAGAUGGGCACUGAGACAAGGGCCCAGGCCCUACGGGGCGCAGCAGUCGCGAAAACUUUGCAAUACACGAAAGUGUGACAGGGCUAUCCCGAGUGCCAUCCGCUGAGGAAGGCUUUUACCCAGUCUAGAACGCUGGGGGAAUAAGGAGAGGGCAAGUCUGGUGUCAGCCGCCGCGGUAAUACCAGCUCUCCGAGUGGUGUGGAUGUUUAUUGGGCCUAAAGCAUCCGUAGCUGGCUAGGUAAGUCCCCUGUUAAAUCCACCGAAUUAAUCGUUGGAUCGCGGGGGAUACUGCUUGGCUAGGGGACGAGAGAGGCAGACGGUAUUUUUGGGGUAGGGGUGAAAUCCUAUAAUCCCAGGAAGACCACCAGUGGCGAAGGCUGUCUGCUAGAACGCGCCCGACGGUGAGGGAUGAAAGCUGGGGGAGCGAACCGGAUUAGAUACCCGGGUAGUCCCAGCUGUAAACGAUGCAGACUAGGUGUUUGGACGGCCACGUGCCGUUCUAGUGCCGCAGGGAAGCUGUUAAGUCUGCCGCCUGGGGAGUACGAUCGCAAGAUUGAAACUUAA